This 20-nucleotide small nuclear RNA is filed under the name Arabidopsis thaliana (thale cress). RNAcentral's name for it is "snRNA_08095". Lineage: Eukaryota; Viridiplantae; Streptophyta; Magnoliopsida; Brassicales; Brassicaceae. The record is from RNAcentral.
AGAUGGGUUUCGGGUACCCA